GAAGUCAUCAAAGACAGCCCAACUCACAGCCCAUGAGGGACCCUGAGUACUGCCUCUGACCUCUCUAUGGCAAGCCAAAUGGCCAUGGGAAGACCCCAUGGAGUGUCAGAAUGAUGCCGUUGAGGGCAAGGAUUUUAGACCGGUCAUGGAUUCUGCCUGUGCACUGGGCUCUACCACUUUCUAGCUAUCUGGCUACUAGCAAGUUACCUUAACAAUCUAAGUUUCAACCUCCCCAUUCGUGAAAUGGAGAUGAUGUCUUAGUCAUAGAAGUAGCAAGUCUACUGCAUAUCAACAGUGUAGCACUGAGCCUGGCUCUUUGUAAGUGUUCAGGCUGGAGCGCAGUGGGAUGAUCUCUGCUCACUGCAGCCUCUGCCUUCUGGGUUCAAGUGAUUCUCCUGCCUCAGCCGCAUAAGGAAACAGGCCGAGAGACGCAAGUCAAACAGCAAAGGAUGGUCUGCUGUCUGUCUGACUCCAAUGCCAAUGGUCUUUCCUCUAUAACCUAAAGCAAUAAAACCCCUGCAACAUCUA
RNAcentral lists this long non-coding RNA (528 nucleotides) under Homo sapiens (human). Its description in RNAcentral is "long non-coding RNA NONHSAT160851.1". The record is from RNAcentral. Lineage: Eukaryota; Metazoa; Chordata; Mammalia; Primates; Hominidae.